GAUGAAGAACGCAGCGAAAUGCGAUAAGUAAUGUGAAUUGCAGAAUUCAGUGAAUCAUCGAAUCUUUGAACGCACAUUGCGCCCCCUGGUAUUCCGGGGGGCAUGCCUGUUCGAGCGUCAUUUCACCACUCAAGCCUCGCUUGGUAUUGGGCAACGCGGUCCGCCGCGUGCCUCAAAUCGACCGGCUGGGUCUUCUGUCCCCUAAGCGUUGUGGAAACUAUUCGCUAAAGGGUGUUCGGGAGGCUACGCCGUAAAACAACCCCAUUUCUGAGGUUGACCUCGGAUCAGGUAGGGAUACCCGCUGAACUUAAGCAUAUCAAUAAGCGGAGGA
RNAcentral lists this unclassified non-coding RNA (331 nucleotides) under soil metagenome. RNAcentral's name for it is "partial contains 5.8S ribosomal RNA, internal transcribed spacer 2, and large subunit ribosomal RNA". The stretch from base 1 to 120 matches the Rfam family "5.8S ribosomal RNA", at positions 35 to 154 of the family's 154-position model. The record is from RNAcentral.